Molecule: ribosomal RNA, 464 nt
Filed under: uncultured bacterium
Lineage: Bacteria
Description: bacterial SSU rRNA
Rfam family: Bacterial small subunit ribosomal RNA
Source: RNAcentral
CCUACGGGAUGCAGCAGUGGGGAAUAUUGCACAAUGGGCGCAGGCCUGAUGCAGCCAUGCCGCGUGUGUGAAGAAGGCCUUCGGGUCGUAAAGCACUUUCAGCGGGGAGGAAGGCGGUGAGGUUAAUAACCUCAUCGAUUGACGUUACCCGCAGAAGAAGCACCGGCUAUUCCGUGCCAGCAGCCGCGGUAAUACGGAGGGUGCAAGCGUUAAUCGGAAUUACUGGGCGUAAAGCGCACGCAGGCGGUCUGUCAAGUCGGAUGUGAAAUCCCCGGGCUCAACCUGGGAACUGCAUUCGAAACUGGCAGGCUAGAGUCUUGUAGAGGGGGGUAGAAUUCCAGGUGUAGCGGUGAGAUGCGUAGAGAUCUGGAGGAAUACCGGUGGCGAAGGCGGCCCCCUGGACAAAGACUGACGCUCAGGUGCGAAAGCGUGGGGAGCAAACAGGAUUAGAUACCCCAGUAGUC